RNAcentral lists this ribosomal RNA (435 nucleotides) under uncultured bacterium. Its description in RNAcentral is "partial 16S ribosomal RNA". It matches the Rfam family "Bacterial small subunit ribosomal RNA", at positions 28 to 507 of the family's 1533-position model. The record is from RNAcentral.
GAUGAACGCUGGCGGUAUGCUUAACACAUGCAAGUCGAACGGACUCUUCGGAGUUAGUGGCGGACGGGUGAGUAACGCGUGAGAAUCUGGCUUUGGGUUCGGGACAACCACUGGAAACGGUGGCUAAUACCGGAUGUGCCGAGAGGUAAAGGAGAAAUUGCCUGAAGAUGAGCUCGCGUCUGAUUAGCUAGUUGGUGAGGUAAAGGCUCACCAAGGCAGCGAUCAGUAGCUGGUCUGAGAGGAUGACCAGCCACACUGGGACUGAGACACGGCCCAGACUCCUACGGGAGGAAGCAGUGGGGAAUUUUCCGCAAUGGGCGAAAGCCUGACGGAGCAAUACCGCGUGAGGGAAGAAGGCUCUUGGGUUGUAAACCUCUUUUCUUAGGGAAGAACAAAAUGACGGUACCUAAGGAAUCAGCAUCGGCUAACUCCGUG